CCUACGGGAGGCAGCAGUGAGGAAUAUUGGUCAAUGGACGAGAGUCUGAACCAGCCAAGUAGCGUGAAGGAUGACUGCCCUAUGGGUUGUAAACUUCUUUUAUAUGGGAAUAAAAUGUUCCACGUGUGGGAUUUUGUAUGUACCAUAUGAAUAAGGAUCGGCUAACUACGUGCCAGCAGCCGCGGUAAUACGGAGGAUCCGAGCGUUAUCCGGAUGUAUUGGGUUUAAAGGGAGCGUAGGUGGAUUGUUAAGUCCGUUGUGAAAGUUUGCGGCUCAACCGUAAAAUUGCAGUUGAAACUGGCAGUCUUGAGUACAGUAGAGGUGGGCGGAAUUCGUGGUGUAGCGGUGAAAUGCUUAGAUAUCACGAAGAACUCCGAUUGCGAAGGCAGCUCACUGGACUGCAACUGACACUGAGGCUCGAAAGUGUGGGUAUCAAACAGGAUUAGAUACCCCAGUAGUC
Molecule: ribosomal RNA, 460 nt
Filed under: uncultured bacterium
Lineage: Bacteria
Description: partial 16S ribosomal RNA
Rfam family: Bacterial small subunit ribosomal RNA
Source: RNAcentral